CAUCAUUAAGGAUAUAGUGGUUGUCCUUGUAAACCCAUAUGCUAAAGAACUCUUCCAGAAUCUCACGUACACCCGAGUAGGAACCGUUUGAUAUUUGAAGGCAUAUUCUAAUUGGCGACAAAAGAAGACAGGAGAUGUAUUAAAUAGAUAUCUACAAUACCGUUCUGUGAUUUUGUCUUUGUUAAAAGUAUGCAGAAACAGCAGUAUUUAUUUGGCUAAAAUCAUUUUCCCUCACUCGCCUCAUAGGUUAUUGAAUGUCACGUUACUCCUAGUUCUGACUCCUAUUUACAGAAAGAACCAAAUCUCCUCCUUUUCAAGCACCUUAAGCUGUAAAAAUAUCAGAAAAGAAGAGAACAAAAAGGAUACCCAGUGAGAAGAACUUGAACAGGAACAGCUGCAGUUUCGCCAAACACUUGUCUUAGCUCAUUUACAAUCUCACCUCCCCUGCAU
Brassica rapa (field mustard) is the source of this 450-nucleotide long non-coding RNA. RefSeq lists it as uncharacterized. The record is from RefSeq and is a predicted model, not a curated record. Lineage: Eukaryota; Viridiplantae; Streptophyta; Magnoliopsida; Brassicales; Brassicaceae.